AAAACCAUCAAGCUGCUUUAUGUUUCUGUCUCUGUGUCCUCAGAGUCCAGAGGACAGGUCACUGUGACUCAGUCUGCAGCAGUGAGCUCUGCUGUUGGACGAUCUGUCACCAUCAGCUGUAAAACCAGUCCCAGGGUUUAUACGUUUUUCAACACUCAUGAUUUAUCCUGGUACCAACAGAAAGAUGGACAAACUCCUAAACUCCUCGUUUAUGGUGCCAGCACUCGAGAAUCAGGGACUCCAGAUCGUUUUACAGGCAGAGGAUCAGACUCUGACUUCAGUCUGACCAUCAGUAAUAUUCAGGCUGAAGAUGCUGCAGUUUAUUACUGUCAGAGUUAUAACAGUG
Molecule: non-coding RNA, 346 nt
Organism: Austrofundulus limnaeus
Lineage: Eukaryota; Metazoa; Chordata; Actinopteri; Cyprinodontiformes; Rivulidae
Source: the annotation of a RefSeq genome assembly